AUUAAUCAAGGAACGUACCUUCAAUCAUAGUUGUUCAAGUGUUGUUGAGAUACGCCUUCGUAAAACUUUGACAGAAAAUCUAGGAGUCUUUUAGCCCGUGCCUAUUCGUUGGAUGCCAGACUGGUGGAGUCACAAGCGUAUUUAUAGGUAGGCUAGGGACUCUUAGGCAAAUACUUUAGCCCUAGGGACUUCUCCAUAAAUUAUAAUUACCCUAGGGACCACUAAUAUAUGGUAAUUUCUUUCCAUCAAAGAAACUACCAUAUAUGUAUAACU
This 273-nucleotide long non-coding RNA is filed under the name Nicotiana benthamiana. Its description in RNAcentral is "long non-coding RNA (NBEN_LNC033940)". The record is from RNAcentral. Lineage: Eukaryota; Viridiplantae; Streptophyta; Magnoliopsida; Solanales; Solanaceae.